Molecule: ribosomal RNA, 305 nt
Filed under: Acinetobacter baumannii
Lineage: Bacteria; Pseudomonadati; Pseudomonadota; Gammaproteobacteria; Moraxellales; Moraxellaceae
Description: partial 23S ribosomal RNA
Rfam family: Bacterial large subunit ribosomal RNA
Source: RNAcentral
GCUUCCAGGAAAAGCCUCUAAGCAUCAGGUAACAUUAAAUCGUACCCCAAACCGACACAGGUGGUCAGGUAGAGAAUACCAAGGCGCUUGAGAGAACUCUGCUGAAGGAACUAGGCAAAAUGGUGCCGUAACUUCGGGAGAAGGCACGCUGGUGUGUAGGUGAAGUCCCUGCGGAUGGAGCUGAGACCAGUCGAAGAUACCAGCUGGCUGCAACUGUUUAUUAAAAACAUAGCACUCUGCAAACACGAAAGUGGACGUAUAGGGUGUGACGCCUGCCCGGUGCCGGAAGGUUAAUUGAUGGGGUU